UACGUCCGAAACAGGUCGAACGUGACCCG
RNAcentral lists this small RNA (29 nucleotides) under Bombyx mori (domestic silkworm). Its description in RNAcentral is "ovarian small RNA-6138". Lineage: Eukaryota; Metazoa; Arthropoda; Insecta; Lepidoptera; Bombycidae. The record is from RNAcentral.